RNAcentral lists this ribosomal RNA (392 nucleotides) under uncultured bacterium. Its description in RNAcentral is "bacterial SSU rRNA". It matches the Rfam family "Bacterial small subunit ribosomal RNA", at positions 361 to 769 of the family's 1533-position model. The record is from RNAcentral.
AUUUUCCACAAUGGGCGAAAGCCUGAUGGAGCAACGCCGCGUGCAGGAUUAAGGCCCUUGGGUUGUAAACUGCUUUUAUAAGUGACGAUUAUGACGGUAACUUAUGAAUAAGGACCGGCUAACUCCGUGCCAGCAGCCGCGGUCAUACGGAGGGUCCAAGCGUUAUCCGGAAUUACUGGGCGUAAAGAGCUCGUAGGCGGUUCAGUAAGUCGGGUGUGAAAACUCUGGGCUCAACCCAGAGACGCCACCCGAUACUGCUGUGACUUGAGUACGGUAGGGGAGCGGGGAAUUCCUGGUGUAGCGGUGAAAUGCGCAGAUAUCAGGAGGAACACCAGUGGCGAAGGCGCCGCUCUGGGCCGAAACUGACGCUGAGGAGCGAAAGCGUGGGUAGC